Molecule: ribosomal RNA, 371 nt
Filed under: uncultured organism
Description: partial 16S ribosomal RNA
Rfam family: Bacterial small subunit ribosomal RNA
Source: RNAcentral
GGAGGGGGCUAGCGUUGUUCAGAAUUACUGGGCGUAAAGGGCGCGUAGGCGGCCUGCCAAGUCAGGGGUGAAAGGCCCGGGCUCAACCCGGGAACUGCCCUUGAAACUGGCAAGCUAGAGUCCGAGAGAGGAUGGCGGAAUUCCCAGUGUAGAGGUGAAAUUCGUAGAUAUUGGGAAGAACACCGGUGGCGAAGGCGGCCAUCUGGCUCGGUACUGACGCUGAGGCGCGAAAGCGUGGGGAGCAAACAGGAUUAGAUACCCUGGUAGUCCACGCCGUAAACGAUGUGUGCUAGACGUUGGAGGUCUUAGGCCUUCGGUGUCGCAGCUAACGCGUUAAGCACACCGCCUGGGGGAGUACGGCCGCAAGGUUA